AUGGGGAUUUAUCUAUUAUUGUUUUAUUUUCAAAAGAAUAUGUGUGAAAGUGAGGGGUUUGGUUUUUGUUAUGGUGUUCGCCAAGGAUUAUGGCCCUUGUGCCUAUGUAUCACUCAUUCGGGGAUGAGGAAUCAAAGCUCCGUAGUUCUGAAUAGAAAAUAUUUGUGUGUUAGUUGAUUUUAACUUUGAGAAAAGGGUUUUAGGAGUGGUGCCCUAAGGCACAAAAAAUUAGGUUUGAUGGGUUAUGUUGAUUUUACCUUAAACAAGGGUUUAUGAAAAGACUUUGUGAUUAGAUUGUGCUAAAUUCUAUGGGCGGAGGUGAAUAUUCUAGACAAUAAGCCAAGCGUCUUGCAUCCUGUAACACCCCAAAAAAUUUUCCCUCCUCAUUCAUGCAUUCAGUUUUAGGUCAUUUAACAUUUCAUAUUGCAUUUCAUCAUGUCAAUCAGAAUCAGAUCCAAAAAAAAACUUUAUUUAAAAAAUAAAAAAAAAAGAAAAAAAAAGAUAAAAAAGAAAAAAAAAUUAAUUAAUUAAAUAAAUAAAUAUAUAAAUAAAUAAAAGAAAA
RNAcentral lists this long non-coding RNA (562 nucleotides) under Lathyrus oleraceus (garden pea). RNAcentral's name for it is "Pisum sativum (pea) long non-coding RNA (PSAT_LNC013498)". Lineage: Eukaryota; Viridiplantae; Streptophyta; Magnoliopsida; Fabales; Fabaceae. The record is from RNAcentral.